Molecule: ribosomal RNA, 705 nt
Filed under: Triticum aestivum (bread wheat)
Lineage: Eukaryota; Viridiplantae; Streptophyta; Magnoliopsida; Poales; Poaceae
Description: partial small subunit ribosomal RNA
Source: RNAcentral
AUGUCGGACAAACCAGCAUUUGCGGAUGGGGUGGCAAAUGCGCUGGGGAAGGUCUUGUGUCCCUUGAGGGGACUAAGGUGCAAAGAUCUGGGCGACAACAUUUUUAUCCUUACUUUCCAUCAGCAGUCAGGAAAAAGGAAAGCCCUCAACGACGGACCCUGGAUGUUUGGGAAGUCUCUACUGGUGAUGGAGGAUUUUGAUCCGAGCAAGGGUAUCAAGGACUACAAGUUCACAACGAUCCCGAUAUGGGUCAGUGUGUUUGAUUUGCCACUGGGAAUGAUGUGCCGUGAGGCGGGCCUUGCCAUUGGGGAAAUAAUAGGAGAAGCCCUUGAAGUAGAUGCCGGUGCGGACGGUAUGGCGGUGGGAAAAUACUUGAGGAUCAAGGUCCAUAUGGAUAUUACAAAGCCCAUCCUGAGGUGUUUCGUGCUAGAUGCUGAUGAUGAGAAGGAAAUAGAGGAGAAGAACUUAACAGAAGAAGCAAGGAGAAAGUGGGAGCAGGAAAAUUGGCGUCGGUUCGAAUAUGAGUUCUUGCCCAAUUUCUGCUACAUUUGUGGCAGGCUUGAUCAUGUUGAGAAUGGCUGCUCUAUCAGGCUGAAGAGGGGGGAGAAGCAGUUCGGCUAUUGGCUAAAGGCCUUUAUACCAAAAUCCACGGGUGAAAAUAAUAGAGGCAGCAGGAAUGAGGGCCAGAACAAUUCUCGAGGGUGA